AUUAUUACUGUGGAGCUCUGUUAUACACUCAGACACACAUUACUGGGAGUAUUAUUACUGUGGAGCUCUGUUAUACACUCAGACACAUUACUGGGAGUAUUAUUGCUGUGGAGCUCUGUUAUACACUCAGACACAUUACUGGGAGUAUUAUUGCUGUGGAGCUCUGUUAUACACUCAGACCCAUUACUGGGAGUAUUAUUGCUGUGGAGCUCUGUUAUACACUCAGACACAUUACUGGGAGUAUUAUUGCUGUGGGGCUCUG
Pelobates cultripes (western spadefoot toad) is the source of this 262-nucleotide non-coding RNA. NCBI's taxonomy places the organism in Eukaryota, Metazoa, Chordata, Amphibia, Anura, Pelobatidae. The record is from the annotation of a GenBank genome assembly.